RNAcentral lists this ribosomal RNA (253 nucleotides) under uncultured bacterium. Its description in RNAcentral is "partial 16S ribosomal RNA". It matches the Rfam family "Bacterial small subunit ribosomal RNA", at positions 524 to 776 of the family's 1533-position model. The record is from RNAcentral.
UACGGGGGGGGCAAGCGUUGUUCGGAAUUACUGGGCGUAAAGGGCGCGUAGGCGGCCUUCUAAGUCGAACGUGAAAUCCCCGGGCUCAACCCGGGAACUGCGUCCGAUACUGGAAGGCUUGAAUCCGGGAGAGGGAUGCGGAAUUCCAGGUGUAGCGGUGAAAUGCGUAGAUAUCUGGAGGAACACCGGUGGCGAAGGCGGCAUCCUGGACCGGCAUUGGCGCUGAGGCGCGAAAGUGUGGGGAGCGAACAGG